RNAcentral lists this ribosomal RNA (532 nucleotides) under Weissella confusa. Its description in RNAcentral is "bacterial SSU rRNA". It matches the Rfam family "Bacterial small subunit ribosomal RNA", at positions 64 to 578 of the family's 1533-position model. The record is from RNAcentral. Lineage: Bacteria; Bacillati; Bacillota; Bacilli; Lactobacillales; Lactobacillaceae.
GAGCUUGCUCAGAUAUGACGAUGGACAUUGCAAAGAGUGGCGAACGGGUGAGUAACACGUGGGAAACCUACCUCUUAGCAGGGGAUAACAUUUGGAAACAGAUGCUAAUACCGUAUAACAAUGACAACCGCAUGGUUGUUAUUUGAAAGAUGGUUCUGCUAUCACUAAGAGAUGGUCCCGCGGUGCAUUAGCUAGUUGGUAAGGUAAUGGCUUACCAAGGCGAUGAUGCAUAGCCGAGUUGAGAGACUGAUCGGCCACAAUGGGACUGAGACACGGCCCAUACUCCUACGGGAGGCAGCAGUAGGGAAUCUUCCACAAUGGGCGAAAGCCUGAUGGAGCAACGCCGCGUGUGUGAUGAAGGGUUUCGGCUCGUAAAACACUGUUGUAAGAGAAGAAUGACAUUGAGAGUAACUGUUCAAUGUGUGACGGUAUCUUACCAGAAAGGAACGGCUAAAUACGUGCCAGCAGCCGCGGUAAUACGUAUGUUCCAAGCGUUAUCCGGAUUUAUUGGGCGUAAAGCGAGCGCAGACGG